RNAcentral lists this ribosomal RNA (498 nucleotides) under uncultured bacterium. Its description in RNAcentral is "partial 16S ribosomal RNA". It matches the Rfam family "Bacterial small subunit ribosomal RNA", at positions 30 to 523 of the family's 1533-position model. The record is from RNAcentral.
AUUGAACGCUGGCGGCAUGCCUUACACAUGCAAGUCGAACGGUAACAGGUCUUCGGAUGCUGACGAGUGGCGAACGGGUGAGUAAUACAUCGGAACGUGCCUAGUAGUGGGGGAUAACUACUCGAAAGAGUGGCUAAUACCGCAUGAGAUCUACGGAUGAAAGCAGGGGAUCGCAAGACCUUGUGCUACUAGAGCGGCCGAUGGCAGAUUAGGUAGUUGGUGGGAUAAAAGCUUACCAAGCCGACGAUCUGUAGCUGGUCUGAGAGGACGAUCAGCCACACUGGGACUGAGACACGGCCCAGACUCCUACGGGAGGCAGCAGUGGGGAAUUUUGGACAAUGGGCGCAAGCCUGAUCAAGCAAGGCCGCGUGCAGGAUGAAGGCCUUCGGGUUGUAAACUGCUUCUGUACGGAACGAAAAGCCCUGGGUUAAUACCCUGGGGUCAUGACGGUACCGUAAGAAUAAGCACCGGCUAACUACGUGCCAGCAGCCGCCGCCG